GUUCUUCCUUAAAAUACAGGGGGCAUAAGUACGUACACCCCUAUGUUAAAUUCCCAUAGAGGCAGGCAGAUUUUUAUUUUUAAAGGCCAGUUAUUUCAUGGAUCCAGGAUACUAUGCAUCCUGAUAAAGUUCCCUUGGCCUUUGGAAUUAAAAUAUCCCCACAUCAUCACAUACCCUUCACCAUACCUAGAGAUUGGCAUGGGGUAUUUUCCAUAAAAUCAUCUUUCAAUGCAAAUCAGACCAGCUAUUUGGAUAACUGAAAUAAAACCAUGCCAAUCUCUAGGUAUGGUGAAGGGUAUGUGAUGAUGUGGGGCUAUUUUAAUUCUUUAGCAUGGGUGUCCUAAUUUUUUCACAUGGCUGUAUCUUAUUGUUAUUGAACAGAUUCAUUUUUUGGAAGGAAAUAAAAGUCAGUGUACUGUAUAUUGCAUUUCCCCAACAAGAGAUAACACGUUUUCUCUUCAUAAGAAUUCCAGGGAUGUACCAAUUGUAGGUAACAGCAAUCUUCUUUCGACUGUGACAGUGACAGUAGAGGAUUGAAUAGUGAUUGUAAAAACAAUGUUAGGCAAACAGAUUGUCCUGUUUGCUUGUCGGUAUUCCGUAAUGAAGCUUAGGUGAAGCAUCGUAUCAGUCUUAUCUGUUCUACACCAACAGGAAACCAAACAAGCACAGUUGUCUCACAGAUGGAUUUCCUUUAGGUUGCUUGACAACACACGUGGCUGAGCUUUGGCUGCCUUAACAGGUGUAAUAUAAGAGCCUUUGCUGUCUUCUCCAAAGACACACCACAUGUGAUACAGCUCCACACUUGAUCAGUCUCACUGGCAGCAUAGAUACUUGGCACACAGUACCUGCAGGAAACUGCGAGCUGGGGAAGGUGAAAGGUCAACAGGAAAGGAGGGGGGUAUUGUAACACAAUGGGCUGGCGGAACUCACUAGCACAGCUGGUAGUUAGUGUUGCAGUGUUCUCUCUCUGUCUCUCUCUUUGUCUCUCUGUGGGGCAAUUGUCCCAUCUCAUGGCAGGGAUUACUUUGUGCUGAGUCAGGAGUAUUGCAGUCUCACUCAGGCUUCUACUGUAAUAGCCUCAGCUGACUGAUAAGCAGAGGAAGUGUACCUCUAGUGAAGCGUUUUAGGAAAAACAGGAAUAUGUAGCGCUUCCUUUUUUAGGGUUUCAAAGAAAACAAAGAGAGGUCAUCUGUGUAGAAAUUGCUUAUAUUUUGUCUCUACCAAAAAAGAAUGUACUGUACGAUAACAAGGUUUCUCAAAAGGUCAAAUUAUUCCUUAAAAAUUCACCUAAUUUGCUCCUCUAGAGUUGCAAAAUGGGGUGAGCCAUUAGUUGUGGAAAGUAAAGUUUUCCUUCAAUGAUAUUCUCAGUGUUUCUCAUCAUAGAAACACUAAUAUCUCCUGGAUAAUUUAAUAAUACUAAAUUUACUAAAUUAUUAUGUUUCUGAAAAAAGUAUGGUGCUGGCUCUGAAUACUACAAUACCUGUGAGCUUCAGACACCCAUUCUAUGCAGAAGUUUGUCAGAGGUGCAAAUCAGAGCUGGAUCCCAAUUGGCGCCAUAGUUGCCGAAUUCAUGUAAAAUUCACCCCGAUUGUAAGCCCACCUAAAUUGCUAAUCAUUUUCUACAAAAUGUCAUCUUUUGCUUCAGCUUUUCGUUCCAAGACAAAGCAUGAUUGUAAGUGAUUGAAUGUUUUUAACUAUAGUGCGCCUUAGAAGUUGUAGUUGACUUUUUUCCUCGUGUUUUUAUGUACACAGGCUUGUAUGUUUUGAGUUUUCAU
Long non-coding RNA from Sander lucioperca (pikeperch), 1775 nucleotides. RefSeq lists it as uncharacterized. Lineage: Eukaryota; Metazoa; Chordata; Actinopteri; Perciformes; Percidae. The record is from RefSeq and is a predicted model, not a curated record. The transcript has 2 exons.